Molecule: non-coding RNA, 121 nt
Organism: Picea glauca (white spruce)
Lineage: Eukaryota; Viridiplantae; Streptophyta; Pinopsida; Pinales; Pinaceae
Source: Rfam
ACAUGCCUACAACAUAGCGUCAAUGCACUGGAUCUCAUUAGAACUCUGUAGUUAAGAGUGCUCAGGAUAGAGUAGUAUUGGGAUGGGUGACCACCCAGGAAGUCCUAGUGUUUUACAUGCC